This 358-nucleotide ribosomal RNA is filed under the name Haptophyta environmental samples. RNAcentral's name for it is "SSU rRNA". It matches the Rfam family "Eukaryotic small subunit ribosomal RNA", at positions 595 to 957 of the family's 1831-position model. Lineage: Eukaryota; Haptophyta. The record is from RNAcentral.
UAGCGUAUAUUAAAGUUGUUGCAGUUAGAACGCUCGUAGUCGGAUUUCGGGGCGAGCCUUCCGGUCUGCCGAUGGGUAUGCACUGGUAGGGUCGUCCUUCCUUCCGGAGACCGUUCCUACUCUUAACUGAGCGGGGUCGGGAGACGGAAUUUUUACUUUGAAAAAAUCAGAGUGUUUCAAGCAGGCAGCUCGCUCUUGCAUGGAUUAGCAUGGGAUAAUGAAAUAGGACUUUGGUGCUAUUUUGUUGGUUUCGAACACCGAAGUAAUGAUUAACAGGGACAGUCAGGGGCACUCGUAUUCCGCCGAGAGAGGUGAAAUUCUCAGACCAGCGGAAGACGAACCACUGCGAAAGCAUUUG